UGGGGAAUUUUGGACAAUGGGGGAAACCCUGAUCCAGCCAUCCCGCGUGUGCGAUGAAGGCCUUCGGGUUGUAAAGCACUUUUGGCAGGAAAGAAACGUCAUGGGUUAAUACCCCGUGAAACUGACGGUACCUGCAGAAUAAGCACCGGCUAACUACGUGCCAGCAGCCGCGGUAAUACGUAGGGUGCAAGCGUUAAUCGGAAUUACUGGGCGUAAAGCGUGCGCAGGCGGUUCGGAAAGAAAGAUGUGAAAUCCCAGAGCUCAACUUUGGAACUGCAUUUUUAACUAACGGGCUAGAGUGUGUCAGAGGGAGGUGGAAUUCCGCGUGUAGCAGUGAAAUGCGUAGAUAUGCGGAGGAACACCGAUGGCGAAGGCAGCCUCCUGGGAUAACACUGACGCUAAUGCACGAAAGCGUGGGGAGCAAACAGG
RNAcentral lists this ribosomal RNA (429 nucleotides) under Acidobacteriota bacterium. RNAcentral describes it as "Acidobacteria bacterium partial 16S ribosomal RNA". It matches the Rfam family "Bacterial small subunit ribosomal RNA", at positions 355 to 776 of the family's 1533-position model. The record is from RNAcentral. Lineage: Bacteria; Pseudomonadati; Acidobacteriota.